UAUGGAGCUUUAGACGCCAGGACAGCCUACGUUAAACACCCCAAAAUAAAGGAAAAAACCAAGUAAAUCCUGUUCUAGUGUCUUUGGUUGGGGCGACCGCGGGGAAAAACUUAACCCCCAUGUGGAGUAAGAGUACUAUACUCUUAGAUCCGAGAGCUCCCGCUCUAAUAAACAGAAUUUCUGACCAACAAGAUCCGGCAGUGCCGAUCAACGGACCGAGUUACCCUA
RNAcentral lists this ribosomal RNA (228 nucleotides) under Oblada melanura (saddled seabream). Its description in RNAcentral is "partial 16S ribosomal RNA". The record is from RNAcentral. Lineage: Eukaryota; Metazoa; Chordata; Actinopteri; Spariformes; Sparidae.